Molecule: small nucleolar RNA, 224 nt
Filed under: Eremothecium gossypii ATCC 10895
Lineage: Eukaryota; Fungi; Ascomycota; Saccharomycetes; Saccharomycetales; Saccharomycetaceae
Source: RNAcentral
AACUUUGUCCAAAAGUUUCCACAGCAUUAGACAGUACGCGGGGAGAGCUAGGCUCGCCGGCCGCCGCUUCGGCGGCGGUUCUGGCGCCAUGUACUAUGGCGCCUUGGCGGGCCGCGUUCACUCUCACACCACGUGAUGAGCAUGUGGAGAGAGGAAAGCUUGGGACCAUUAAGAACUCGGAUGGAACUUUCAUGAUAUCCGGGUGUCAGAGGGUCCCCACAGUG